GACGAACGCUGGCGGCGUGCCUAAUACAUGCAAGUAGAACGCUGAAGCUUGGUGCUUGCACCGAGCGGAUGAGUUGCGAACGGGUGAGUAACGCGUAGGUAACCUGCCUGGUAGCGGGGGAUAACUAUUGGAAACGAUAGCUAAUACCGCAUAAGAGUAGAUGUUGCAUGACAUUUGCUUAAAAGGUGCAAUUGCAUCACUACCAGAUGGACCUGCGUUGUAUUAGCUAGUUGGUGAGGUAACGGCUCACCAAGGCAACGAUACAUAGCCGACCUGAGAGGGUGAUCGGCCACACUGGGACUGAGACACGGCCCAGACUCCUACGGGAGGCAGCAGUAGGGAAUCUUCGGCAAUGGACGGAAGUCUGACCGAGCAACGCCGCGUGAGUGAAGAAGGUUUUCGGAUCGUAAAGCUCUGUUGUAAGAGAAGAACGAGUGUGAGAGUGGAAAGUUCACA
This 456-nucleotide ribosomal RNA is filed under the name Streptococcus sp. oral taxon C08. RNAcentral's name for it is "bacterial SSU rRNA". It matches the Rfam family "Bacterial small subunit ribosomal RNA", at positions 28 to 468 of the family's 1533-position model. Lineage: Bacteria; Bacillati; Bacillota; Bacilli; Lactobacillales; Streptococcaceae. The record is from RNAcentral.